Gallus gallus (chicken) is the source of this 5071-nucleotide long non-coding RNA. The record is from Ensembl. NCBI's taxonomy places the organism in Eukaryota, Metazoa, Chordata, Aves, Galliformes, Phasianidae.
UCCUAUUCAAGAGCUUUUAUUAAAUUGAAAUGCGAACACCAUUGCAAAGAGAUUUUACAAUGACAAAAUAUAGAAAAGUCCACCAGAAAGCUACAGACUUCAGUAACAAUAUUGAUCUUACAAGUGAAAUUGCUAACAGAUUUUAUUAAAGCCAGCAUUUUCAAUAUUAAGAACUUAAAAAAUACAUAAUUUUAAAGCAUUUUCCUUCAAAUACACUUAGAAACAAUGAAGAAUUCCUGAGCAACUGUUUUUAUACCAGUACAUUCCAACCAAUGUACAUACUGAAUAUGAAAUCUACUUUCUAUCAUUCUUUAAAUUUUAGAAAUUUACAAAACGUUCGGGUCUGGUUCAUAGAAUAAUUGUGCUUCAAGUCACUGUGCUGCUAAAGUAAUGACACUACAAUAACUUGAAUAUUCCAGGUUGCUUGCAAAUUCUGAAAGUGGAAUUGAAAAAAAAUGCCUAGCUUUUAUUGCAAGACUAAGAAUGAAUUUGUUUACACAAAUAUAAAAAAUGCAACAAAAAGCCUUAAAUAUCGGACUGGCUCUUUCUUAGAUGAAAAGCCUGUUGUUUAUUGUGCACGCUGUUUAGAACAUGCAAUUUGAUUUAUACCUACGUUUCUUUGAGAGACCUGCUGCCACUAUCAAAGACAAGGAAGUUCCAGAGACUUUCCUCUGCAUUUAACAGCAUGCCAGAAAUUCAAACGAAUACAGUUAAUUAGUGAUUCUUGGUAUUUUUUUUCCUUGGCAGUACCUAUUCAGAAUGGGAACUCUGAUACUGCUGUUUUACAUAUUGACUCAAAAAAUUAUAUGAAGCACAAUAUAAAUAUUUCAGAAAUUCAGACAGUGCUGAGUAUCUCUGAGAAAUAUAAUGCAUUUACAAAACUGAUGGCUGUGCCAUUCCAGAUGAAGAGUGGCAUUUGUGGUCAGAAUUAAAAACUGCUUUACAAGAUGAAAAAUGAACAACAGUGUAGCAGCCCAGGGGAUCCCUUCUGAGUAUAUCUGAGUAGUAGUUUUUCCUCUUCCUUCUGGAAUGAUGGACCCGGGGAUGAGAAUUCAGAGUAGUCUACAGUGUUAUGAACUUUAAAACUUAUUGUUUGACAUCAUAAUACUUUCACCUGCAUUUUGUAGAAAAAUCUGUAUAUUCCUUAACAUACAAAAUUAUCUGUCCUGCUCAAGGGAUACUUUCUAUUAGUGACAUCUACAAAGGUUUCCAGCAUCCUCUAAAAAUUCUGCUUAGUGCUGUGUCUUUAAAUCCGACCAUUACGAUCCUUGUAGGAAAUGAAGUGAAAUCUGUCCAUUUUUACUUAUGUCAAAAUGAAGUGAAGGUACUCAAGAGCUCACUAAAACAGAAGCAGCAUUCUCCAAAGAAAAAAUUAUCAUUAGAUAAAGACAUAGACCAAAACAAGCAGCAUCACAGAGUCAAACUGCAUAAUAGCUCUGAAUUCUGACAAUAAAAAAUGUGAAAAAUAUUCCUUAUUUCUAACUUCUCUGUGCACUGAUGUUGAGUAUACACCCAGUUUUUUGCCUACUGGCAUGGCAAGAACCCAUACAAAUAAUUCAGACAUCUUUUGAGUUAUUUUCAACAUGCAUUACCUCUCUUAAGAACUUACAUUACAUGGCAGAAAUGUAUUUUAAAUGUCUUGGUAAAUCUCAGAAUUUAUCACCAAGACAUGGACUUCGUGAUUAAGGAAAACGUUAAUGAUUGUCAUGUCUUGUCAUACAUGUUUCGAUUGUCACAGGUACAAACUAAGGAAUGCCCAGAAAUGCCUACAGACCAUUUACUAGUAUCCACAAAAUUCUUUAUCUCUUGGAGCUUGUAGCUCAUUUCAUCAAUAGAAGAAUGUUUAAGAAUGGUAAGUGUAUCUGUGAGACACUGUAAAUGGAUAAAUAAAAAUCAUGUGUAAAAAAAAAAAAUAAUUGAAGUUUAAUUUAAAGACAGUGUGGUACACUUUAUUUUGUUGAAUUUUUCCUUAGGAAUGUAGGAAAUGCAACAGCAGAUUAGAUGAGGGGCGUGGCCCUUCAAACAUGGUUUGCCACGGACCAAUACCAGAUUAUCAGGAGAAAAUCCCAUAAUUAAUAGAAACAGAGUGACCAACUUUCAUGUAUAAGUCUUUUUCACUUUUUAUGUAAUAGAUGAUCUGUAGUAGCCAAUUUCAGCAUCUUACCAACAGGUUAGCACAUAAUGAGGCAUUACUAUUUUUUGUGGACUAUGUCCAGUAGCUGUCCAUAUUCCUAUUUUUGAUGUAGAAGUAUUUUUUUCCCCCUUAAAAACACAUUUAUCACUUUACUGUUGGAUAUUUCUUUUAAUCUACUCUUACAUUUUAUUCUUUUGUUUUCAUUUUUUUGUUCUCCCUCCCUGUCUUCUCAACUGCAGUCACCAUCCUACAGCAUACUGAUUGUACUCUUCUGUUCUGACACAUGCAGCAACCAUGUCCCUCCUCCCGUCAUAAAACACUCUUUCUUCGUCAUACACAAUGUGUUUCUGUAUUCCUCUUAUCUCCUGCUUGACAUACACAGGAGAGAUGAAGAAAUUCCUUUGUUUCAAGAGGAUUUUCAAGGCCAAGCCACAUGAUUCUUCCAGCUCAGUGUAGUUCAGUCAAUCCUUCCACACUACUAUCACUGGAGCUGAAGGAAGUCAGUGACUUGGUUUUUAAUAUGUGUUUUGUAACAGUUGAAAGCAUGGCUAGUCUCCCUUUUCACUCACUCAGGAACAAUUUGAAGAUUUCCUUCUCAGAAACUCAACUGAAAACAGGUCUUCCUAAAUAGAACGUACUAACAAAUGCUUAGUUCCAUUGGUGGGAUCCAGAAUCAGAGCACCUCUGAGAACUCAGCUUUCUCAGUCCUAAUGAGUUGAGCAUUGAGCACACAGGCAGUGGCAAAAAACAGGAAGGGGAAAACUGUGACUGCCAAGCUGGUCAGCAUGGCUUUCCCUACAAGAUGAAAACUUCUUUGUUAUUUUUCUUCCCACAUAAAAACUCUUCCUAUUUAGCUAUGCAUCUCUGACAUCCCAUUCUAGUACUACUAGUGGGACAAAACUGAUGAUUUCACGACAAGUUGUUCAUUAAAAACAAUUCAGAUAUUACAAACAACAUUUUAAGUCAAUUUGCGGUUUGACACACAAAGGAAAAUGCUUGUCUGUCUUUUUAAAGGGAGUGGAAAAAAAACCCACAAAACACCUGAGGUAGUGAUUCUUUAAGAAUAUGGUGCCUGAUCUCACGAAACUUUCAUUUCAUUUGUCUUUAUGGCUUUGUAGAAAAUGUCUACUAUUCAUAAACUGGCUUAGAUGACUUUGGUAUCCUUGCCCAAUGCUUUCAAAUUCUUUAGAGUUGAUGAGAAAUUACCAAACACAUUUACAAGCUUAAUGAUGUGAACUCCACAUACACAGUGCUUCAGAGAUAACAAACAAAAUGGUUCUUAUUCACUUUUAACAUCCGCUGUUACUACACUUUAAAUACUUGAAUUACAUUUAAAGCAACUAUAGAUUUUCCAGCCAUCUAAACAUAUACACAUAAACAAAUACACCACAGAAUUCACUGCUUUAACAUAAACUAAUUAGUACUAUAUUUUUGUGUUUCAGUUUGUUCUAUAAACACAUAUAUCCCCUUAGUAGUAUUAUAUAAGGUCAAAUGACUACACUUUAAUUAAAUAAUCCCUUGUAGUAACAUAGUAUCAUCAAGAGCGUUCCUCAAACCUUCAUUUUAUGUGAAAGUAAGUUUUGGCAGCACAUGUCCACUUCAGUAAAUUAGAUUUCUUCAAGUCAGGAACACCAUAUUGAAAUACCAGAAUUGUACAUCAAAGUUGUCCUUGCUAAAAGAAAAACUCUAAUUUGAAAAGUUAGAAUGAGUUAUAUUUCUCAAUACUGAAGAAAACUGUUAAUAAAAUUAUUAAUUAAAAUGUAUAUUCAAAUUUAUGAAUUUAUAAAAUUGAUUUUCUGAAGAGCCUUUUAAGCCUUUUAUGCUACUGAAAUUUAGAAGUGACACAGUUAACACAGAAAAAACCCCAAACAUUCAAACUUCACUCAAAGUGAGAAAUUUGGUGCAAGACCUGGGGGGGCUAAUCCCAGUUCCUGGGGUAAACUCUGUUACAUGUUAAACCACUGUAUAUCGAAGAAGGUGUCAGGAACCUGUUAUUACAUAAGGGUGUACCAUAACUUUACAAGAAUCCACUGUGUACAAUUGCUACAAAAUCUCAUCUAUUUCAUAACAAAAAGCUAUUCCUUGAAGAGCUGUAAUAAAAAAUAAUGUUGCAAACAAGACAGAAUGAAAUAUUUUAACAUCCAAAGGCCCUCAAACUUAGCUGAAGAUUAUUCUGAUUUUACAGAAUUGUAUUCUCUUUUGAUGUGCAAAAGUUCUGUGUAGAUGUUCAAGGCCACUUUUAGAAGGUGUUACUCCCACCCGGGAAGUAGGUUGUUUUGGACAACGAAAGUGCAUCCAAAGGAAAAAUAAUCCAACUGCACAUUUGUUCAGCCUAAAGGAUGACGUAUGUUCAUGAAAAAUGUGUUCAGGUCAUAUUUAGCUAGCAGAUUCUUCAAAAAGCUUGGCUACUUCCGAGCAAUCAAAAAUGUGUUGCUUUCACUCUGGUAGAAUUCCUGACUUCACAGAAAGCCAUAAUGAUUUGGCAUCAUGGGACUCUCACUGGCAAUGGUGAGAAAGAAUUUAUGCCCCAUGAAGUAAUUUAAGCUACAGCUAACUUGCAGUUUCAGAACUAAUUUAUGGAUAGGCAUAGAAAAACUCUGUCUCAGUUUUUCUUCCUGAUGGAGAAUCAGUGAACUAUUGGAGGGGCCUUCUUUUGAGUACCUUGUAAUCUUGGUUUUGGUUUUUUUUUUUUUUUUCAUGGAAAAAUAGUCAUGGGUUUUUGUUUGUUUGUUUGAUUGUUUGUUUUUUUCUUCUGGCAGCUUAGAAGAAAAGCUGAUCUUUUGGGCUUUCUGAACUCAAGGUGUUAAAGUUAAUGAUGUUCCUGGGACCCAAAAGCUGCAACAGAAUUGGACAAACCUCACAAUAUUAACACAGACUAUAAUUUUCAAUUUAAGCAUUGUCAAUUCAGAAAAUGUUUUCAAAAAAAAAAAAAAAAAA